CCUGGUGGCUCAGCUGGUAAAGCGUCUGCCUACAAUGCAGGAGACCUGGGUUCAAUCCCGGGGUCAGGA
RNAcentral lists this transfer RNA (69 nucleotides) under Ovis aries (sheep). It matches the Rfam family "tRNA". From Rfam's summary of the family: Transfer RNA (tRNA) molecules are approximately 80 nucleotides in length. Their secondary structure includes four short double-helical elements and three loops (D, anti-codon, and T loops). The record is from Rfam by way of RNAcentral. Lineage: Eukaryota; Metazoa; Chordata; Mammalia; Artiodactyla; Bovidae.